UACGUAGGUGGCAAGCGUUGUUCGGAAUUAUUGGGCGUAAAGGGCGCGUAGGCGGUUUGCUAAGUCAGUUGUGAAAGCCCGGGGCUCAACCCCGGAGGGUCGGCUGAUACUGGUGGACUAGAGUACGGAAGAGGUAGCUGGAAUUCCCGGUGUAGCGGUGAAAUGCGUAGAUAUCGAGAGGAACACCUGCGGCGAAGGCGGGUUGCUGGGCUGAUACUGACGCUGAGGCGCGAAAGCCAGGGGAGCGAACGGG
RNAcentral lists this ribosomal RNA (253 nucleotides) under uncultured bacterium. Its description in RNAcentral is "partial 16S ribosomal RNA". It matches the Rfam family "Bacterial small subunit ribosomal RNA", at positions 524 to 776 of the family's 1533-position model. The record is from RNAcentral.